AAAAAUCACUGACAAAGGAGACGGCCACGUUAUGUUUCUGAAGUUAUCUUAAAAUAUUUAGGGAAAGAUUAAAAAACGCUAGAUCCUGGCCAACUCCACUGGAUUCGAAAAAUAUGGUUCUGAUGUUUCUAAGUUUACAAAAAUAACGAUUACUGCACGCACCAGAGCCGACGAAAAGCGUGGGUACUACAAGUAGUACUACCCAUUUAAAAAUUUUGAAGAAAAUGACCCACCUGGAAUCGAUACGUUUUGGCGACUCUGGCACGCACAAAUUAUUCAAAUUAAUAUCUCGAAAAGGGAUUUUACAGGAGAAAAAAUGUGUUUAGAGACAUAUAUUGUAUUUCUGUUAUACAUCUUAUUUAAUUAAAAGCUCACACUUAUAGUUCGUG
This is a long non-coding RNA of Drosophila ficusphila, 389 nucleotides long. RefSeq lists it as uncharacterized. The transcript is spliced from 3 exons. The record is from RefSeq and is a predicted model, not a curated record. NCBI's taxonomy places the organism in Eukaryota, Metazoa, Arthropoda, Insecta, Diptera, Drosophilidae.